UACGUAGGUGGCAAGCGUUGUCCGGAAUUAUUGGGCGUAAAGCGCGCGCAGGCGGUCCUUUAAGUCUGAUGUGAAAGCCCACGGCUCAACCGUGGAGGGUCAUUGGAAACUGGGGGACUUGAGUGCAGGAGAGAAGAGUGGAAUUCCACGUGUAGCGGUGAAAUGCGUAGAGAUGUGGAGGAACACCAGUGGCGAAGGCGGGUAGCUGGGCCGACACUGACGCUGAGGCGCGAAAGCCAGGGGAGCGAACGGG
This 253-nucleotide ribosomal RNA is filed under the name uncultured bacterium. Its description in RNAcentral is "partial 16S ribosomal RNA". It matches the Rfam family "Bacterial small subunit ribosomal RNA", at positions 524 to 776 of the family's 1533-position model. The record is from RNAcentral.